Long non-coding RNA from Carcharodon carcharias (great white shark), 1532 nucleotides. RefSeq lists it as uncharacterized. NCBI's taxonomy places the organism in Eukaryota, Metazoa, Chordata, Chondrichthyes, Lamniformes, Lamnidae. The transcript has 4 exons. The record is from RefSeq and is a predicted model, not a curated record.
CUUCCCCUCCCCCCACCUAACCCCAGCUCUGCCAGCAGACUCUGCCCUGUUGAUUGCUCACAGUAUCAUGGAGUGAUGCAAGCAGCCAGCUCGUCUUUGGACUCUGUCGGGAGCAAGGCUUUCCAGUCUGGUAAAGUCAGAGCAAGUCCGGGUGUUUCAAGAGGCUCAGUGCAUGAAGGGAAAUCCACGCUGGAGGUAGUGUGUAAAUUGCAAGCAGAUUACCUCAAGAAGGUAGAGUAAAUGAGAUCAGUCUUCAACCCAGAACACAAAGAAAGGUAAAGACACAUCCCUCUCAGUCACAGUCUAGAGCAUAUUAUCUCAGAAAUUCAUCUUAAAUGGGCUCAAGAGCAAGAAAUUCCUAGGAGAAUAUAUUGGAUAUGCCUUCAUAUCAAGACACAAGGUUAGAUUUCAGGCUGCUCCUCACACACAGUAGGUACAUUGUAAAUCACAAGGCUGACAAACACAGAACUGGCAUCACUUCUGCUAUCAUGGGCAGUCCAACCCUGUAGGGAUGUGUUAUAAAUCUCACAGUUUGCAUGGAACAAUACAAUCAUAUGCUGAUUAUGCACUGACAGAUUGAUCCAUUUCUCUGCCUUACAUCCGUAUAAUAACAGAUAGUACCCACACUGGUGGGUGUAUACAAGAGAUCAACACCAACAACGAAGAUAGGAGACCAGGCAAUCAGACGAAAUGGGUAAAACCAUCACUCCUCCUGAGACCGAUACAAACAUUCUGGGGGAUAAAAAAUAUACAACAUGAAGCGGAGGAGGAAGAAAAACAUCCCAACUGUCAUGCUGACCAAUGUAGUAGAGUCCUAAAGUGUGGCAAUGAUAUAAUUCAUCUUCCAAUAACAUGUCAUCCCAGCAUUAUAGUCAUACAAUGUAGGGAAUGCCACACUCUUAUGACAAUGUGAGGCACUGAGCGACAGGGAAAUGUUCUUACACUCAGAAACAAUGAAUGAUGGAUUGGGAAUUAAUCAAUUAAAUAUAAUACCAGACACAAAAUGAAACCCUCAUGCACACACGUCCAAAAACACUGAGUUUUAAAUCUCAUUGCAAAUACAUAUUUACUGACUGAUCCAGACGUUAUCUCUUGGAUACAUAGAGUGUCAAAAAUUUGCAUAGCAAGGAAUGCAUUUUAAAGUUGCAUAAGAUUGCAGAAACUGAGAGAUAGAGAAUAGAUUGCCGCAAACACACACAGACUGAAGUCCACAUUCAGAAAAUUGAAAGAUUUGAAAUGAAUUUGGGACUUACAUGAAGUACCACAGACUGAAAUUAUAGCUAUUAAUCUCAGAAAAAGGCAAAGUAAUAAUUUUAAAAAAUGUAAAAGCACAUAUCACACUUAAAAACUGUAGAAGAUACUGAAAGAUACAGAAUAAAUUUCACCCUCACAUACAGUAUGAGAGAAUCAUGGAAUCUGAAUAAUUUAUACACUCAAACACUAUGCCAGAGAAUGACAAAUUUACAAUUCAGGAACAAACUCCCACACUACUGCUCUAUACAAUACAAUAUUCAUAUAAUAUAGAAUAUAUA